AGGAUGAACGCUGGCGGUAUGCUUUACACAUGCAAGUCGUACGAGAGUUUUUAACUCAAGUGGCGGACGGGUGAGUAACACGUAAGAAUUUGCCUUUAGGAGGGGGAUAACAACUGGAAACGGUUGCUAAUACCCCAUAUGCUUUCGAGUGAAAUGGAUUUUCCGCCUAAAGAAAAGCUUGCGGCUGAUUAGCUUGUUGGUGAGGUAAUGGCUCACCAAGGCGACGAUCAGUAUCUGGGUUUGAGAGGAUGAUCAGACACACUGGAACUGAGACACGGUCCAGACUCCUACGGGAGGCAGCAGUGGGGAAUUUCCGCAAUGGGCGAAAGCCUGACGGAGCAAUACCGCGUGAGGGAUGACGGCCUAUGGGUUGUAAACCUCUUUUUCAGGGAGGAAUAAAUGACGUGUACCUGAAGAAUAAGCAUCGGCUAACUCCGUGCCAGCAGCCGC
Molecule: ribosomal RNA, 450 nt
Filed under: uncultured bacterium
Lineage: Bacteria
Description: SSU rRNA
Rfam family: Bacterial small subunit ribosomal RNA
Source: RNAcentral